Long non-coding RNA from Larimichthys crocea (large yellow croaker), 3948 nucleotides. RefSeq lists it as uncharacterized. The transcript has 2 exons. NCBI's taxonomy places the organism in Eukaryota, Metazoa, Chordata, Actinopteri, Sciaenidae. The record is from RefSeq and is a predicted model, not a curated record.
UCAUAACACUGAUUAAGACGCAGAAAUUACUGGGGAAUUUGUCAAGUCUCGCUUCUAUACGACACAUUCUGUAAGUGUCAGUAUGAGUGCCGAUACUAAAGUGGUUGUAUAUUCUCUACAUUCACGCUCUGAAUGAGUCUAGAGUGGGAAAAUGAGUAAGGACUGAGCGGGUAUAUACUGAAGGUGAGCCAUUGUCUACCGGUGGGGGGUAUUCCUAGCAAGAACAGGGUAUUCAUCUCAGUGGAGCAUAUGGCAGACGCUCAGGACAGUCAGGUGAAAUGUUACAGGCUUUGUCUAGACUGGCUAACAGCCACAAACAGCUUACUCAGCACUUGUAACCUGCAAACUGCAGCAAUGGAAAUGAGUGAAAUGAGCACCGAUAGAGCGGGUAGGCUCGGAUACCUGGCAUUAUUAAUGUGGAAUACCGAUUGAAAAUAACGGAUGCAGAUGUGUUGUAAGACGUGGAAGCGACAAAUUCCAACGUUUGUUUUGUUCGUCAGCUUUAAGCGUGGUGUCGAAUGAACAAUGAGAUUUUAGACAGUUCAGACAGACCGACAGAAAUACUUCAACACCACUGAAGGACAGCCUGAGAUUUAACGUAGAUCUGAAUCGAUGCCUCUGAGGCACAGUCCAAACAAACAAAACAAAAAACUGUACAUCUUGAGCUUUUUGAGCAAUGCUGGCACUUCGGCAAACUGCCAGUUUUUUUUUUGUUGUUUUCAACACCGACACACAGAAACAAAGUGGUGUACCAGAGUAAGAUCUGCAACCUGAAGUUUGAGUUUCCAUUCUCUGAGAUAACAAAACACACACAGUAUCUUCAGGACUGGAUUCACUAACUCACAGAGCUCUCUCAUUCAUUACAUGACUGACACCAGCAGCUACAAAACAACUGAAAAGCUCUACUAUCGGGUCAAGCGUACAAAAAUAUAUUGCGACCAUCCUCAGGUUGAACAUAAACAGCAGCUUCACCCUCCAAAGAAAGAUCAGACGUGUGAAUGAACUGCUUUUUUAAGGGUUAUAGGUUGUAUAAUAGUUUCUAUAAAUCAAGGAGUUGUAUUAUUAUGCUGUGCAUCUACGUCUACGUAAUGUGCGUGAGACGUUGCAAAGUGAUUUCAAGGCAAAUAUCACACCGCAAAAAACGAUGCUAGCUCGGUUUUAAUAAAUCCAAAUCACAUGUAUGUAUCAGAACAGUAUGAUUAGUAAGAUUAUGUGUAUUGCCGAUUGACAAAAUGUAAAGAUUCAGUUCAACCUGACGUGUUCUAUGGGCGACGGCGAUAGAGAUGCGGGAAAGAAAAAUAAGUCGAUCACCACACCUCUGAUGUUUUAUCUGAACACAUCACUGUCACACAAACAAGACACUCGACUCCUCACAGGCAUGCACACACACACACACACACACGUGUGCGCGCGCACACACACACAGAUUGUGAGGGCGGAUGAGAGUGAGUCACUCUCCCUUCUGGCCAUGAAAAAAAAAAAAAAGAAGAAGCAAUCUGUAGCAGAGAGUCUGGGCUUUAACAAAUUUGCUUUAAAUACAUAGCACUUCGUAUUUUUUUAAACAUUUCCGCGCUCAUUAACUGACUGAUUGCUUGAUCACUGAUUGCACUCUAUUAAUAGAAAUCUCUGGUCAUGAGGGAAACGCAGGUAAAGCACAUGCGUGACAAGCGUACUGUCACAUUAGUAGUUAGUAGUAGUUGCCAUCUGUCCAAGAGAGUACUGUUAUUAGUCGCAGUCAGGACGUAAAAGCAAUGCUUGGUACAGCUCAGUGUAGAAUCUACAGUCCAACCCACCAUUUUACCAACACGUAAGGGCAGAGAGAGAGGGAAAAAAAAGAUACAGACAGAGAAAAAGACCAGCUCUGGAUCUGGCUGAUGCAAUCUAAUGGAACAUCAUCCUAUGAGGGGCUGAUGUCUAAGACUGUCCACACUGAGCCUGCUACAUUUGAAAAGGCUUUUUUUUUUUUCCUCUCCAAAAGUUCUGGCCUUUCAUCUGCACCAAGAAUGUUUUUCACACCCAUCUAGGUUUUUUUUUUUUUUUUUUUAAAGCCGAGCCAAGCCGAGCCGAGAGAAAUCUCAAAAUGCCAGUCUUGUAGCGUGGACGUGAAAACAAAUGCCCGACAAAUGAAAUGAUGGAAAAUAUCUUUUCAGACAUAGCAGGGCGCUGUGUAACAGUUAACACGGAGAAAUCAACUUUUCCGUUGCCUCCAGCUUUUUUGUGAUCUCUCCUUUUCGUUGCUGACAAAGGCAAUCGCACAACACAGAUGUUCUCAUUAACCUACAUUUCUUCCCGUCGUUUUUUUUUUUUUUUCAGUCAAACUUUGGGAGCAAAGGGAAAGAAAAUAAAAACAGCGGUUGAAUCAAAGUGCUGCGGCACAUGAGCGUACUGAAGAAAACCCAAAACCAGCAGUGAAUUUACCCCGAUCACAAGUCUGACACGGCCUCUGCCUCACACCACAGAACGUCAACAUCAUCUAGAAACUUUAAAAACAAACGCGAGAACUAUACAGACCACUACGUGUCCUGGACACACAGAUUUGUUGGUUUCACAAGCAGAGUGAAAUUAACUACGCUUUCUCUGGAUGGAUUUGGGAUGUUGUUUUGCAUCCAUUUUGUAAUGGCAGCAGACCAAAUUUCCCUUGCAAGGCAGAGAUGGGAACGUGAUUACAGACUGGAUGCAGGUAAUGAGCGAGGAAGUUCUGCUUUUCAGCGGUGUCAUGGUGAGAAUCAGGUGCACAACAACAGAGGAAGACAGAAAUAAAUGAAACAUCUGGACGUGGGAAACACUGAAGCUGCACUGAAGUUAGCACUUCGAGGAAGUGAAUAAUAAAGGCAUCCUGUUUUAAUGGGCAAAUAAAACAGUCUGUUUUAAUGAACACUGAGUGUGUAGGUAGACAUGGCUCUCAGGCUAAGACAGUGAAAACAAGGGACAAUGUACAAGGAUGAGACAGGGAUUUGACAUUAACAAGCGGCAGAACAGGAGCGAUGAAGACCGAGGCUCAUUGUCUAUGAUUUCUGAGAUGCAAGUGCAUUCAAAGCGGAGGAGCAAGCCACCGAAUAAAUUUGGUAUACAUUGUGUGUUGGUUUCCCCAACAACACAACAUCUAAAUAUAACCCUCCACAACUGGAGCAAAUGUUGAAUAAUGAGGCGUGGGAGGUUCUGGAAAAGGAGGACCUCGCCAGGAAUAUUUGGUCAACAAAUAUAAACAAAAUAAUCCACAUUAAAGAUGAAAUGUAUCACAAAACAUCAGUGUGUACCCCUCGCUUAUUGCUUUUAUAUUUUUUGAAAUUGUACAAGUAAAUCUCAGCUGUGUUAGGAAGACCGGGAUAUCCAGAAUCCAGAAUAGAUGGAUGAUUGAAGUCUAUGAACCAUAUUAAUAUGACUGGUUCCUCUUGGUCUCCGGAACUACUGGUACAUCAACAUACAACCCCAGUUACACAACCAAGGGCACAGAGGGCUUCUUCUCAAAAAAUGCAAUUUUUGCAUUUCUGCCUUCUCCGAGGCCAAGUCAAACAGGAGAGGUGGUGUCAGAGCUGGCAGUCACUGUACAACACAGACGCUGUGGGAGCCUGGCAGGCAUCGGUGCGGCGGAAACAAAUGAAAUUCAUCGGAAAAUCCUGCAGCAGUACCUCACACGCACACACCCCUCUGAUUCUUCAUUCUACAGCUACGGAAAAGGUCGUCCACUGACCUCCCAUGUGCCAUGUGGGGAAAGCUGUCAUCAUCAUCUGUUACUGUUAGAACGGAGACUAUUCACACUCACAGUUGUGCUUGGGUUCGUGAAUGAAAGCAUGCUUGCUUCCCUGAAAGCAUGUUUAAUUACCUGCCUCCACUUUAAAACUUGCUUCAAUGCACCGACUGUCUUCAGUCGAAUAAAGUCAAACAAGACUUUUGCUUGAAUUCAGUAUAAAACUCUUGAAAAGACAGCAUUUAAUAGAGCAAGGAGAA